Molecule: ribosomal RNA, 494 nt
Filed under: uncultured bacterium
Lineage: Bacteria
Description: partial 16S ribosomal RNA
Rfam family: Bacterial small subunit ribosomal RNA
Source: RNAcentral
GACGAACGCUGGCGGCGUGCUUAACACAUGCAAGUCGAACGGAAAGGCCUGCUUUCCCUUGUGGAUUGCGGGUACUCGAGUGGCGAACGGGUGAGUAACACGUGAGUGAUCUGCCCCCAACUUGGGUAUAAGCCUGGGAAACUGGGUCUAAUUCCCGAUAGGACUGCAGGGUGGUGCCUGUGGUGGAAAACGAUUUUCUAGUGGUUGGGGAUGAGCUCGCGGCCUAUCAGCUUGUUGGUGGGGUAAUGGCCUACCAAGGCGGCGACGGGUAGCCGGCCUGGGAGGGUGGACGGCCACAUUGGGACUGGGUUACGGCCCAGACUCCUACGGGAGGCAGCAGUGGGGAAUAUUGCACAAUGGGCGGAAGCCUGAUGCAGCGACGCCGCGUGGGGGAUGACGGCCUUCGGGUUGUAAACUCCUUUCGACCGCGAGGAAGCCACCUGGUUGGAAGGGUGGUGACGGUAGUGGUAGAAGAAGCACCGGCUAACUACGUG